AUGAUGCAAAAUGGACGUAUCAAUACACAAAUGUAUAACUCCCCGGGAAUUUCAAUUACGCUUAUAUCCAUCACUGUAGGACUUGGGUUUAAGCUUUCCCCAGCCCCUUUUCAUAAAUGGACUCCUGGCAUCUAUGAAGGAGUGUGGUUUGUUCGACAAAUUCCUACCUCUAUAUCUAUCUCUGAGGUGGGUUUUGCAAAACUCCAUAGACAUGCAGAAGAGAAAUGCUAUCCCCACUCUGACCAAGAUAGAACUUUUACCAAAAGUUUAUUGUGA
RNAcentral lists this ribosomal RNA (276 nucleotides) under Triticum aestivum (bread wheat). Its description in RNAcentral is "partial small subunit ribosomal RNA". Lineage: Eukaryota; Viridiplantae; Streptophyta; Magnoliopsida; Poales; Poaceae. The record is from RNAcentral.